CAGUAGCCGCGGGAAUACGUAGGUGGCAAGCGUUGUCCGGAAUUAUUGGGCGUAAAGGGCUCGCAGGCGGUUUCUUAAGUCUGAUGUGAAAGCCCCCGGCUCAACCGGGGAGGGUCAUUGGAAACUGGGAAACUUGAGUGCAGAAGAGGAGAGUGGAAUUCCACGUGUAGCGGUGAAAUGCGUAGAGAUGUAGAGGAACACCAGUGGCGAAGGCGACUCUCUGGUCUGCAACUGACGCUGAGGAGCGAAAGCGUGGGGAGCGAACAGGAUUAGAUACCCGUGUAGUCCCUGUCUCUUAUAC
This 301-nucleotide ribosomal RNA is filed under the name uncultured bacterium. Its description in RNAcentral is "partial 16S ribosomal RNA". It matches the Rfam family "Bacterial small subunit ribosomal RNA", at positions 509 to 807 of the family's 1533-position model. The record is from RNAcentral.